Molecule: ribosomal RNA, 899 nt
Filed under: uncultured bacterium
Lineage: Bacteria
Description: bacterial SSU rRNA
Rfam family: Bacterial small subunit ribosomal RNA
Source: RNAcentral
AGAGUUUGAUCCUGGCUCAGGAUGAACGCUGGCGGCGUGCUUAACACAUGCAAGUCGAACGAUGAUCUCCAGCUUGCUGGGGGGAUUAGUGGCGAACGGGUGAGUAACACGUGAGUAACCUGCCCUUUAACUCUGGGAUAAGCCUGGGAAACUGGGUCUAAUACCGGAUAUGACUCCUCAUCGCAUGGUGGGGGGUGGAAAGCUUUUUGUGGUUUUGGAUGGGCUCGCGGCCUAUCAGCUUGUUGGUGGGGUAAUGGCCCACCAAGGCAACGACGGGUAGCCGGCCUGAGAGGGUGACCGGCCACACUGGGACUGAGACACGGCCCAGACUCCUACGGGAGGCAGCAGUGGGGAAUAUUGGACAAUGGGCGAAAGCCUGAUCCAGCAACGCCGCGUGAGGGAUGACGGCCUUCGGGUUGUAAACCUCUUUCAGCAGGGACGAAGCGCAAGUGACGGUACCUGCAGAAGAAGCACCGGCCAACUACGUGCCAGCAGCCGCGGUAAUACGUAGGGUGCGAGCGUUGUCCGGAAUUAUUGGGCGUAAAGGGCUCGUAGGCGGUUUGUCGCGUCGGGAGUGAAAACUCAGGGCUUAACCCUGAGCCUGCUUCCGAUACGGGCAGACUAGAGGUAUGCAGGGGAGAACGGAAUUCCUGGUGUAGCGGUGAAAUGCGCAGAUAUCAGGAGGAACACCGGUGGCGAAGGCGGUUCUCUGGGCAUUACCUGACGCUGAGGAGCGAAAGUGUGGGGAGCGAACAGGAUUAGAUACCCUGGUAGUCCACACCGUAAACGUUGGGCGCUAGGUGUGGGACUCAUUCCACGAGUUCCGUGCCGCAGCUAACGCAUUAAGCGCCCCGCCUGGGGAGUACGGCCGCAAGGCUAAAACUCAAAGGAAUUGACGG